UACGGGGGGUGCAAGCGUUACUCGGAAUCACUGGGCGUAAAGAGCAUGUAGGCGGAUUAAUAAGUUUGAAGUGAAAUCCUAUAGCUUAACUAUAGAACUGCUUUGAAAACUGUUAGUCUAGAAUGUGGGAGAGGUAGAUGGAAUUUCUGGUGUAGGGGUAAAAUCCGUAGAGAUCAGAAGGAAUACCGAUUGCGAAGGCGAUCUACUGGAACAUUAUUGACGCUGAGAUGCGAAAGCGUGGGGAGCAAACAGG
RNAcentral lists this ribosomal RNA (253 nucleotides) under uncultured bacterium. Its description in RNAcentral is "partial 16S ribosomal RNA". It matches the Rfam family "Bacterial small subunit ribosomal RNA", at positions 524 to 776 of the family's 1533-position model. The record is from RNAcentral.